AGGUGAAAAGUGUCCGUGUGUGUUAACCUCUUUUAAAGUGACUUUGAUCGUUGAAGUAUCUAAUUAGAGGCUAAGCAAAGGAAACAUGGAGUUCAGGGUUGCCAUUAUUUUGGUUGCAUGCAUAUCGUGCUUGGUGCCGAGCGUGAGGCCGGUGCCGGUGGUAAAGGUGGCAGC
Molecule: long non-coding RNA, 174 nt
Organism: Papilio polytes (common Mormon)
Lineage: Eukaryota; Metazoa; Arthropoda; Insecta; Lepidoptera; Papilionidae
Exons: 3
Source: RefSeq, a predicted model, not a curated record